This 253-nucleotide ribosomal RNA is filed under the name uncultured bacterium. RNAcentral's name for it is "partial 16S ribosomal RNA". It matches the Rfam family "Bacterial small subunit ribosomal RNA", at positions 524 to 776 of the family's 1533-position model. The record is from RNAcentral.
CACGUAGGGGGCGAGCGUUGUUCGGAUUCAUUGGGCGUAAAGGGUGCGUAGGCGGUCGCGCAAGUCGGAUGUGAAAUCUUAGGGCUCAACCCUGAAACUGCAUUCGAUACUGCGUGGCUCGAGUACUGGAGAGGAGACUGGAAUUUACGGUGUAGCAGUGAAAUGCGUAGAUAUCGUAAGGAAGACCAGUGGCGAAGGCGAGUCUCUGGACAGUUACUGACGCUGAGGCACGAAGGCCAGGGGAGCAAACGGG